This 496-nucleotide ribosomal RNA is filed under the name uncultured bacterium. RNAcentral's name for it is "partial 16S ribosomal RNA". It matches the Rfam family "Bacterial small subunit ribosomal RNA", at positions 30 to 523 of the family's 1533-position model. The record is from RNAcentral.
AUUGAACGCUGGCGGAAUGCUUUACACAUGCAAGUCGAACGGUAGAGGGGGCAACCCCUCGAGAGUGGCGAACGGGUGAGUAAUAUAUCGGAACGUGCCCAGUCGUGGGGGAUAACGUAGCGAAAGUUACGCUAACACCGCAUACGAUCUAAGGAUGAAAGCGGGGGAUCGCAAGACCUCGCGCGGUCGGAGCGGCCGAUAUCAGAUUAGGUAGUUGGUGGGGUAAAGGCUCACCAAGCCAACGAUCUGUAGCUGGUCUGAGAGGACGACCAGCCAAACUGGAACUGAGACACGGUCCAGACUCCUACGGGAGGCAGCAGUGGGGAAUUUUGGACAAUGGACGCAAUUCUGAUUCAGCCAUUCCGCGUGCAGGAUGAAGGCCCUCGGGUUGUAAACUGCUUUUGUACGGAACGAAAAGGUCUCUCUUAAUACGGGGGGCUCAUGACGGUACCGUAAGAAUAAGCACCGGCUAACUACGUGCCAGCCGCCGCCGUAA